This 22-nucleotide non-coding RNA is filed under the name Arabidopsis thaliana (thale cress). Lineage: Eukaryota; Viridiplantae; Streptophyta; Magnoliopsida; Brassicales; Brassicaceae. The record is from RNAcentral.
GGGCACGUCUGCCUGGGUGUCA